Small nuclear RNA from Pan paniscus (pygmy chimpanzee), 107 nucleotides. The record is from Ensembl. NCBI's taxonomy places the organism in Eukaryota, Metazoa, Chordata, Mammalia, Primates, Hominidae.
AUGCUUACUUUGGCAGCAAAUAUACUAAAACUGGAAUCAUAAAGAGAAGAUUAGCAUGGCCCCUGUGCAAGGAUGACAUGCAAAUUCGUGAAGUGUUCCAUAUUUUU